UGUUUUUCAUUUUUUUUU
RNAcentral lists this small RNA (18 nucleotides) under Arabidopsis thaliana (thale cress). Its description in RNAcentral is "ATSL223440". Lineage: Eukaryota; Viridiplantae; Streptophyta; Magnoliopsida; Brassicales; Brassicaceae. The record is from RNAcentral.